Molecule: ribosomal RNA, 627 nt
Filed under: uncultured bacterium
Lineage: Bacteria
Description: bacterial SSU rRNA
Rfam family: Bacterial small subunit ribosomal RNA
Source: RNAcentral
CCGCGUCAGAUUAGGUAGUUGGUGGGGUAACGGCCUACCAAGCCUGCGAUCUGUAGCUGGUCUGAGAGGACGAUCAGCCACACUGGGACUGAGACACGGCCCAGACUCCUACGGGAGGCAGCAGUGGGGAAUCUUGCGCAAUGGGCGAAAGCCUGACGCAGCCAUGCCGCGUGAAUGAUGAAGGUCUUAGGAUUGUAAAGUUCUUUCGCCCGUGACGAUGAUGACGGUAACGGGAGAAGAAGCCCCGGCUAACUUCGUGCCAGCAGCCGCGGUAAUACGAAGGGGGCUAGCGUUGUUCGGAAUUACUGGGCGUAAAGCGCGCGUAGGCGGUUUUGCAAGCCAGAGGUGAAAUGCCUGAGCUCAACUUAGGAAUUGCCUUUGGGACUGCGAGGCUUUGAGGACGGAAGAGGUGAGUGGAAUUCCCAGUGUAGAGGUGAAAUUCGUAGAUAUUGGGAAGAACACCGGUGGCGAAGGCGGCUCACUGGUCCGUUUCUGACGCUGUAGCGCGAAAGCGUGGGGAUCAAACAGGAUUAGAUACCCUGGUAGUCCACGCUGUAAACGAUGAGUGCUAGGCGUCGGCAGGCUUGCCUGUCGGUGCCGCAGCUAACGCGUGAAGCACUCCGCCUG